Molecule: ribosomal RNA, 253 nt
Filed under: uncultured bacterium
Lineage: Bacteria
Description: partial 16S ribosomal RNA
Rfam family: Bacterial small subunit ribosomal RNA
Source: RNAcentral
GACGGAGGUUCCAAGCGUUGUUCGGAUUGACUGGGCGUAAAGGGAGCGCAGGCGGUUGAGUAAGUCUGAAGUGGAAGCCUGGAGCUUAACUCCAGAAGUGCUUUAGAUACUGCUCGGCUUGAGUAUGCCAGAGGGAAGUGGAAUUCAGGGUGUAGCGGUGAAAUGCUUAGAUAUCCUGAGGAACACCGGUGGCGAAAGUGGCUUUCUGGGGCAUUACUGACGCUCAGGCUCGAAAGCGUGGGGAGCAAACAGG